AAGUCAACAACCAUCUCCACUGUCUUGAGGGCGUUGAGCUCCAGGUUGUUCUGUCUGCACCAGGACACCAGGUGGUUGAUCUCACAUCUGUAGGCAGACUCGGCCCUAUCAGAGAUGAGUCAGAUGAGGGUUAUUAGGCUUAAUUAU
This is a long non-coding RNA of Thalassophryne amazonica, 147 nucleotides long. RefSeq lists it as uncharacterized. NCBI's taxonomy places the organism in Eukaryota, Metazoa, Chordata, Actinopteri, Batrachoidiformes, Batrachoididae. The transcript is spliced from 3 exons. The record is from RefSeq and is a predicted model, not a curated record.